AUUGAACGCUGGCGGAAUGCUUUACACAUGCAAGUCGAACGGCAGCACGGACUUCGGUCUGGUGGCGAGUGGCGAACGGGUGAGUAACAUAUCGGAACGUAUCCAAUAAUGGGGGAUAACGAGUCGAAAGAUUCGCUAAUACCGCAUACGCCCUACGGGGGAAAGCUAGGGACCUUCGGGCCUGGCGUUGAUGGAGCGGCCGAUAUCUGAUUAGCUAGUUGGUGAGGUAAAGGCUCACCAAGGCGACGAUCAGUAGCCGGUCUGAGAGGACGACCAGCCACAUUGGAACUGAGACACGGUCCAGACUCCUACGGGAGGCAGCAGUGGGGAAUUUUGGACAAUGGGCGCAAGCCUGAUCCAGCCAUUCCGCGUGAGUGAAGAAGGCCUUCGGGUUGUAAAGCUCUUUCGCAAGGGAAGAAAACUUAUCCUCUAACAUAGGAUGAGGUUGACGGUACCUUGAUAAGAAGCACCGGCUAACUACGUGCCAGCCGCCGCAGUAA
This 500-nucleotide ribosomal RNA is filed under the name uncultured bacterium. RNAcentral's name for it is "partial 16S ribosomal RNA". It matches the Rfam family "Bacterial small subunit ribosomal RNA", at positions 30 to 523 of the family's 1533-position model. The record is from RNAcentral.